This 23-nucleotide non-coding RNA is filed under the name Cricetulus griseus (Chinese hamster). The record is from RNAcentral. Lineage: Eukaryota; Metazoa; Chordata; Mammalia; Rodentia; Cricetidae.
AAUAAAGAUCUCAUGUUCUGCUU